Molecule: ribosomal RNA, 240 nt
Filed under: uncultured bacterium
Lineage: Bacteria
Description: partial 16S ribosomal RNA
Rfam family: Bacterial small subunit ribosomal RNA
Source: RNAcentral
UGAGCAAUCUGCCCUUCUCUUUGGAAUAAGCGUUGGAAACGACGUCUAAUGCCGAAUACGACCUCCUUUCGCAUGAUCGGAGGUGGAAAGCUCCGGCGGAGAAGGAUGAGCUCGCGGCCUAUCAGCUAGUUGGUGUGGGUAAUGGCCCACCAAGGCGACGACGGGUAGCCGGCCUGAGGAGGGUGACCCGGCCACACGUGGGACUGAGACACGGCCCAGACUCCGUACGGGGAGGNAGCG